UAGUUGGUGGGGUAAAGGCCUACCAAGGCGACGAUCUGUAGCGGGUCUGAGAGGAUGAUCCGCCACACUGGGACUGAGACACGGCCCAGACUCCUACGGGAGGCAGCAGUGGGGAAUAUUGGACAAUGGGCGGAAGCCUGAUCCAGCCAUGCCGCGUGUGUGAAGAAGGCCUUUUGGUUGUAAAGCACUUUAAGCGAGGAGGAGGCUACCUGGAUUAAUACUCUGGGAUAGUGGACGUUACUCGCAGAAUAAGCACCGGCUAACUCUGUGCCAGCAGCCGCGGUAAUACAGAGGGUGCGAGCGUUAAUCGGAUUUACUGGGCGUAAAGCGUGCGUAGGCGGCUGAUUAAGUCGGAUGUGAAAUCCCUGAGCUUAACUUAGGAAUUGCAUUCGAUACUGGUCAGCUAGAGUAUGGGAGAGGAUGGUAGAAUUCCAGGUGUAGCGGUGAAAUGCGUAGAGAUCUGGAGGAAUACCGAUGGCGAAGGCAGCCAUCUGGCCUAAUACUGACGCUGAGGUACGAAAGCAUGGGGAGCAAACAGGAUUAGAUACCCUGGUAGUCCAUGCCGUAAACGAUGUCUACUAGCCGUUGGGGCCUUUGAG
RNAcentral lists this ribosomal RNA (599 nucleotides) under uncultured bacterium. RNAcentral's name for it is "bacterial SSU rRNA". It matches the Rfam family "Bacterial small subunit ribosomal RNA", at positions 246 to 836 of the family's 1533-position model. The record is from RNAcentral.